RNAcentral lists this non-coding RNA (24 nucleotides) under Arabidopsis thaliana (thale cress). The record is from RNAcentral. Lineage: Eukaryota; Viridiplantae; Streptophyta; Magnoliopsida; Brassicales; Brassicaceae.
UAACUCAAAGGAUUGUACCACGUG